GACAGCGUUUGUAUUUUUUUUCUGUGGGGGGUGAAUUAUUUGAAGUCAACGAAAUAUAGUUUCUUUCAUUUUCCACUUCACAGUGAUCAUCAUCUUCUUCUUCUUCAUUGAUCUUUAGCUCUAAUGUCGUCUUCUUCUACAGAGAAUCGUAUCCUUUGGACAGAGAUCCAAGAAUCAAUAAGGAACAUAUUGAAAGCUAACUGUGGCCAUUUUCAUGCUCUUUCAAUCCUCUUCCUCUUGCCUAUCUUUUUCUCUCUCGUCGUUUAUCCUUCUUUCCACCUCGCUCUCUUUCAUCCUGAUUAUCAUUUCACCACUUUCACUCAAUUUCCUCAGUCCCAUCUUUUCCUUUCAAAAUUCGAAAUUAUUGUACCCAUAGUAUAUACUCUGUUUCUGGUCCUCCUUUUCCUCUGUGCUCUAGCCACAAUUACAUACAGCGCGCUUCAUGUAUCCUAUGGUAGACCUAUCAACCUCGUUUCCUCGAUUAAAUCUAUCAGAAAUUCCUUCUUCCCCCUUCUCUCCACCUUUAUCGUUUCGCAUACCAUUUUCAUUUCAAUCGCUCUCGUUUUCUCCCUAAUCUUUGUUUUUUUAGUCCAGGUUCUUCAAACUCUUGGAUUAAUUGAAUUUAAAUACGACUCGAAUCACUUUUUGUUUAUGGUUAUUCCUGUGUUGAUUAUGCUCGUGCCAGUUUUGAUAUGGUUGCAGGUUAAUUGGUCAUUAGCUUACGUGAUAGCAAUAGUUGAAUCCAAAUGGGGUUUCGAAACACUAAGGAGAAAUUCCUAUUUGGUAAAGGGGAAGAGAUCGGUAGCUUUGUCGAUGAUGCUCUUAUACGGGCUUUUGAUGGGAAUAAUGGUGGUUUUAGGUGCCAUGUAUUUAGUCAUUAUGGAUGCAGGGAAGGGUCAUCAAUGGAGAAGUUCAGGGGUAAUAUUACAGACUGCUCUGAAUUCAGUAACUGGCUAUCUGAUGAUGAGUCAAUUUCUUGUGGGGAAUGUUGUUUUGUAUCUGCGUUGCAACGACUUGAAUGGUGAAAAAUUGCCCUUGGAAAUCGAGCAUCUUCUUCUUCAUCAAUCUUUAGCUAAUGAUCAUCCACCUCCAAUGUCGUCUACUUCUACGAAAAAUCUUAGCCUAUGGACAGAGGUCGUAGAAUCAGCAAUGAGCAUAUUCAAAGCUAAUUCUGCCCAUUUCCAUGCCCUUUCAAUCCUCUUCCUCUUGCCUAUCUCUUUCUUUCUUGUCGUGUAUCCUUCUUUUCACCUUGCUAACUUUCAUCCGGACUAUGAUUUCAUCAGUUUCGUUCAACCCCAUCUUUUCCUUUCAAAUUUCGAAAUUAUUGUACCAACAUCGUACUCUCUGUUUUUGGUCCUCCUUUUCCUAUGCGCCGUAGCCACAACUACAUAUAGCACAGUUAAUGCAUCCUAUGGUAGACCUAUAAACCUCGUCUCUUCGAUUAAAUCUAUCAGAAAGUCCUUCUUUCCCCUUCUCUCCACCUUAGUCGUUUCGCAUACCAUUUUCAUUUCAAUCACUCUUGUUUUCACCCUAGUUUUGACUAUUUUAGUUCAAAUUCUUCAAGCUCUAGGACUAAUUGAAAUUAAAUACGAUUCGGA
This 1598-nucleotide long non-coding RNA is filed under the name Nicotiana tabacum (common tobacco). Its description in RNAcentral is "long non-coding RNA (NTAB_LNC014089)". Lineage: Eukaryota; Viridiplantae; Streptophyta; Magnoliopsida; Solanales; Solanaceae. The record is from RNAcentral.